AAAAAACUGAACAAUCGGGCCUUCAUUAAGAAAGAAGAACCACGCUAAGGUAAAAAGAGAGGAGAGAGGGAGAGAGGGGAGAGAGAGAGAGAGAGAGAGAGAGAGAGAGAGAGAGAGAGAGAGAGGGAGAGGGAGAGGGAGAGGGAGAGGGAGAGGGAGAGGGAGAGGGGAGAGGGGAGAGGGAGACAGAGAGGGAGGGAGACAGAGAGACAGAGAGACAGAGAGAUAGAGAGACAGAGAGACAGAGAGAGAGAAGCAAGGGGAUGCUCUGUCUAAACCUCACUAGAGAUUAUUCGGGAUUUGAUUUUAGGUGACUGGCUCGUGUUAAAGGACCUUCCUGUCAGAAGAAAUUGAAAAUUGUUGCUCAUGGAUUUCUGUGGGAUAUAUGUUCUCAAUUCAUUAUAAGUAACUACCAAAUGGGACAAUUUUUUUUUGCUCAAUACUAUAAGAGAGGUCAAAAGGGGGAACAGAAAAGUGGUGAAGAUAUGAGAUGAGACAUUGCUGAGAUAAGGGGGUAUGAAUAUCUAGUCUUCUGAAUACACAAAUAGCCUUGACAAAUAAGUAAAUGCAGAUAAGCCACUGAAAGAUAUAUGAAAAAAACUUUUAAGUAUUUUGGAAAGAACAUUAAACUCUCAUAUAAGUAGAUUUGUUUAAAGUUGGUUAAGGGGACUGGACAAAUGGCUUAGUAGUAAACGAGUAAUAAAACUUUCUACUUUAGCAGUAGAGUUGAGUUCAGUUUCCAGGAUUCUUGGCAGCUUACACUUUCCUGUAAGUCCAUUUAUAAGGUAUCCUAAGACCUGCCUUCCAGAUUACAUAGGCACUACACACAUGUAGUACAGAGACAGACAAAGAGGCACAUGGACACACACACAUAGAGAAAUUAAUGAAAAGAAAAGAUUGCUCAAAUUCAUUACUGAGGGAAAUAUGAAAUGCAAAUUAUGGUAUGUUUACAGAUGUUUCUAGUUUUGUUUCUUUAAUUCAUAUAAAUUAGUCUAACUGGGACUUCCUAACACUUUUUAACUUUCUUUGCAAACAUGAUUUUAAUAGCAUAAAAUAUUAGGUUCCAUUAUGGAAGCUUUCCCUCC
RNAcentral lists this long non-coding RNA (1085 nucleotides) under Mus musculus (house mouse). Its description in RNAcentral is "long non-coding RNA chr16:19433045-19434130". Lineage: Eukaryota; Metazoa; Chordata; Mammalia; Rodentia; Muridae. The record is from RNAcentral.